UUAUAGCGUAACCACUACUCGUCGCUGUCAUCGAUGUCCGCAGAUAAAUAUAACCUGAAAAACCGGAGAUAAGAACCCACGUGUGUUCAUCAUACAGUUUCUAGCGUAACCACUACUCGUCGCUGUCAUCGAUGUCCGCAGAUAAAUAUAACCUGAAAAACCGGAGAUAAGAACCCACGUGUGUUCAUCAUACAGGUCUGGAAACUACUCUAAUUUCAGUGGUGGGAGUAUGGCCGCUUUUUGAGGAUACAUUUAGUUUCUAGCGUAACCACUACUCGUCGCUGUCAUCGAUGUCCGCAGAUAAAUAUAACCUGAAAAACCGGAGAUAAGAACCCACGUGUGUUCAUCAUACAGGUCUGGAAACUACUCUAAUUUCAGUGGUGGGAGUAUGGCCGCUUUUUGAGGACACAUUUAGUUUCUAGCGUAACCACUACUCGUCGCUGUCAUCGAUGUCCGCAGAUAAAUAUAACCUGAAAAACCGGAGAUAAGAACCCACGUGUGUUCAUCAUACAGGUCUGGAAACUACUCUAAUUUCAGUGGUGGGAGUAUGGCCGCUUUUUGAG
Long non-coding RNA from Ooceraea biroi (clonal raider ant), 563 nucleotides. RefSeq lists it as uncharacterized. The record is from RefSeq and is a predicted model, not a curated record. NCBI's taxonomy places the organism in Eukaryota, Metazoa, Arthropoda, Insecta, Hymenoptera, Formicidae.